UACCAGAAUUUUUGAUUUCAAACAAAAUGUGAAGGCUCAGAGUAUGUAACAGCUUAUCAAUCAAGAAUUUUCAGAAGCAGAACUGGCAUUUUAUAGCUGUAGAAUAAUCUUCACUGCCAAUAACGAAAUCGCAAACCAAAAAAUAAAUCCAAAAACAAUAUAAACAUAACUCACAAAUUGAAGUCAGCUCAUAUCAAGAAAUUCAACCAUCGUUUCCGUUUAUGCUUCAUUGAUUACUCUCAGAAGCGCGGAUAAAAUAUAAUCAUCGCCGAUAAUAUACUAUAAAAAAAUACAAAAUUUUCUUGCAGCUAAUUUUCUCGAGAAAAUUGAGUACUAUAUAUAGCGGAUGUUUUUAGAGGCAAAACGAUAAUAAAGAGUUGAACCCCCACGUUAACACCGCCGAGAUCGAUCUAUGCCCCCAUGACUAGACCUUUUUUCAUAAUUUAGAUCUGAAAAAAAGCUAAAGGUGUGGCGGGGCAAA
This is a non-coding RNA of Camellia sinensis, 481 nucleotides long. Lineage: Eukaryota; Viridiplantae; Streptophyta; Magnoliopsida; Ericales; Theaceae. The record is from RefSeq and is a predicted model, not a curated record.